GAGGAAAAUAGAAAAAUUUUUAUUGCCUGAGUAGCGGCGAGCGAAACGGCAAGAGCCUAAACCAGUGCAUCUCACCAAGGUAAGUUGCGGAAAAUAGAAUCUAGUAACUAGAAUCUAGAAUGUGGAAGCUGAAUCUUUAAAAAUUCUUCUUUCAAUAUUCUAGUUUCUAAAUUCUAGCUUUUAACUUCUGCAUCGAACUUUAGUGAGAUGCAGUGGGGUUGCAAGGUAAGAACACUUUAGAGAUAUGAAAUAGGAUUGUCCCCCCUCCUUAAGUGGGGAGGGAUAUAGCAUCCUAUUUCGUGUUUCUAAAAAGAGGUAAAAAAUUCAUUGACUAGCAGAAUGGGCUGGAAGGCCCAACCAAAGAAGGUGAUAGUCCUGUACGCGAAAGUUAAUGAACCUCUGUUUUUAUUCUUAAGUACCUCGAGGCAAACAAACCUUGAGGGAAUCUGCCGGUACUAUCCGGCAAGGCUAAAUACACUUUGUGAUCGAUAGUGAACUAGUACCGCGAGGGAAAGGUGAAAAGCAGGCCGGGAGGCCGGUGAAAUAGUACCUGAAACCAUAUGCCUACAAGGACCUAGAGCCGUGCUUUGCACAGAAAUCCGAAGCACGAAAUCCGAAAUACGAAACAAAUUCAAAAUUAAAAAUUUCAAAACGUUUCGAAUUUCGAUAUUCGAAUUUCGAGUUUCCGCGCAGAGCGCGGUGAUAGGGUGCCUAUUGAAGAAUGAACCAACGAGUUAAUGUCAAUCGCAAGUCUAAGUCCGAUAAAUCGGACGAAGGCGAAGGGAAACCGAGUGUUAAUAGCGCGAAUGCCCGCAAGGGCAAUGCGGUUGGUGUUAGACCCGAAGCCAAGGCGAGCUUACCCUGUCCAGGAUGAACCCCGGGUAAAACUGGGGGGAGGUCCGAACUGGUGGGUUGUGCAAAACCCUCGGAUGAGGUGGGGUAAGAAGUGAAAAGCUAAUCGAGCUUGGUAAUAGCUGGUUCUCUCCGAAAUAGUUUUAGGACUAGCGAUUAGAGAUAUGCGUACGAGGGUAGAGCUACUGGUUCGAGACUAUAGGGCGAAAGCUCGAGUCUCGAGUCAAACUCCGAAUAUCGUACGUAAAAGUCUAAUUAGUCAGACUACGGGGGCUAAGCUCCGUGGUCGCGAGGGAUAAAGCCCAGAUCGUAGUCUAAGGUCCCCAAAUCUUUGCUAAGUGUUAAAGGUGGUCUUCAACCAUAGACAGAUAGGAGGUUGGCUUAGAGGUAGCCAUCCUUUAAAGAGUGUGUAACAACUCACUAUUCGACGGUUGGUGGCGCCGAAAAUGUACCGGGGCUAAGCAAAGUACCGAAGACACGGAUAUCUUGUGCGUAGCACAAGGAAAUUCGAAAUUCGAAUAUCGAAAUUCGAAACGGUUUGAAAUUUUUAAUUUUGAAUUUGUUUCGUAUUUCGGAUUUCGUGCUUCGGAUUUUCUCGCGCUGCGCGCGAGAUGUGGUAGGAGAGCAUUCUUAACUGCUGCGAAGGAGGACCCGUGAGGGCCUCUGGAGCGUUAAGAAGAGAGAAUGUUGGUAUGAGUAAUCACAAACCUAAUGAGAAAUUAGGUCCCCGAAAAUCCAAGGUUUCCGUGGCAAUGGCAAUCAUCCACGGGUUAGGCGAUCCUAAGGCAAUGGCGAGAGCCGCAGCUGAUGGGAAGCCGGUUAAUAUUCCGGCCCGCCUUUAGAUGUGCGAUGGAGUGACGGAUGAAAUAAGAUUGAGCGCCUUAAUGGUUUGGCGUCUCUGACGUUAAGCGUUGCUAUCCAGGAAAAUCCGGAUAGCUGGUUUUAAUACCGAAACGCGCGCGUUGGCGUAAGGUUAGGUUUUACCUGACUAAUUCAAUCGAAGAGCGUUCCAAGAAAAACUUCUAAGUUUAGUCUGAAGGCAUCGUACCGUAAACCGACACAGGUGGGUGAGGCGAGAAGCCUCAGGGGAACGAGUGACUUGCCGCUAAGGAACUCGGCAAAAAAGCGGCCGUAAGUUCGCAAUAAGGCCUGCCCGCGCAUCUCACUAAGGUGAGCUGCCGCGAAUUAAAAACUAAAAAUGAAAAAGGAAAAAUUAAGGAGUCGCUUCGCGACAUUAGAAUAAGUCCGAAGGACACCAAAGUUUUUAAUUUUUCGCUUUAACUUUUUAAUUUUGUAGCACCGAACUUUUGUGAGGUGCGUGGGCCGCAGCUAAAGUAUCUCUGGCGACUGUUUACCAAAAACACAGCUCCCUGCUAACUCGCAAGAGGAUGUAUAGGGGGUGACACUUGACCGAUGCGGGAAGGUUAACGGUGGGUGUGGUUUGUAGCAAUAUGAACUGCGUACUGCCCGAAGCCCCCGUCAAUGUCAGCGAUAACUAUAAUCGUUCUAAGGUAGCGCAAUUCCUUUUCGGGUAAGUGGAACUUGCCCCUUGGUUGAGUAAUUAGCCAUGAAACACUUGCUAUAUCGGUGAAGUCUAAAGCUCGACGAGACGCGAGCUAUGAUAAUACCGAGGGAACCCUAAUCAUAUUAGGGACUCCGUAGAGACUACACGCAAGUAUCCAAUUUUUGGAUAAAGAUAUAGUCCGAUCCUUUCCGAAAGGAAAGAUUCGUAGCAUUCGCAUAUCAUUUGUAGAUUUGCAUUAUGUGUGCGAAGCACGAUGAAGUUCCGAAGCGCACGAAUAGUGUAACGACUGGAGAACUGUCUCAGCGGCAAGCUCGAUGAAAAUGCGAUUCCAGUGAAGACGCUGGAUACCUGCAGCAAGACGAAAAGACCCUGGAAGCUUUACUGUAGUUUGGUAUUGGCUUUACGACUUGAAUGCGUAGCGUAGUGGCGAGCCUUUGAAGUUCCGCUUUUGGGCGGGAUGGAGGCGACAAUGAAACAGCCAUCUUUCAAGUUUUAAAGUCUAACCUCGACGGCAAAAACGUCGCGGGACAGUGCCUGAUGGGCAGUUUUAAUGGGGCGUUAUCCUCCUAAAAAGUAGCGGAGGAGUUUAUUAAGGUUGGCUUAGCCCGGAUGGAAAUCGGGCUGGACGUGUAAACGCAAAAGCCAGCUUAACGGCAAGACUGACAAGUCGCGCCGGUGCGAAAGCAGAAGUUAGUGACCCGACGGUUCUUUAUAGAAAGGCCGGAGACAACGGAUAAAAGUUACUCCAGGGAUAACAGG
Molecule: ribosomal RNA, 3136 nt
Filed under: groundwater metagenome
Description: bacterial LSU rRNA
Rfam family: Bacterial large subunit ribosomal RNA
Source: RNAcentral